ACUCAAAGGAAUAGACGGGGGCCCGCACAAGCGGUGGAGCAUGUGGUUUAAUUCGAUGCAACGCGAAGAACCUUACCAAGAUUUGACAUGGAAACGACGUACUUAGAGAUAGGUAUUCCCCUCGGGGCGUUUCACACAGGUGGUGCAUGGUUGUCGUCAGCUCGUGUCGUGAGAUGUUGGGUUAAGUCCCGCAACGAGCGCAACCCUUACCGUUAGUAGCCAUCAUUAGGUUGGGCACUCUAGCGGGACUGCCGUGGAUAACACGGAGGAAGGCGGGGAUGAGGUCAAAUCAUCAUGCCCUUUAUGUCUUGGGCAACACACGUGCUACAAUGGCUAUAACAAAGUGAAGCAAGCAGGUGACUGUAAGCCAACCACAAAAAAAUAGUCUCAGUUCGGAUUGAAGUCUGCAACCCGACUUCAUGAAGCUGGAAUCGCUAGUAAUCGCGGAUCAGCAUGUCGCGGUGAAUACGUUCCCGGGCCUUGUACACACCGCCCGU
Molecule: ribosomal RNA, 497 nt
Filed under: uncultured bacterium
Lineage: Bacteria
Description: bacterial SSU rRNA
Rfam family: Bacterial small subunit ribosomal RNA
Source: RNAcentral